UCCGUAGACGGAUUGAUAAGUCAGAGGUGAAAUCCCACAGCUUAACUGUGGAACUGCCUUUGAUACUGUUAGUCUUGAGUUAUAUGGAAGUAGAUAGAAUGUGUAGUGUAGCGGUGAAAUGCAUAGAUAUUACACAGAAUACCGAUUGCGAAGGCAGUCUACUACGUAUAUACUGACGCUAAUGGACGAAAGCGUGGGGAGCGAACAGGAUUAGAUACCCUGGUAGUC
Molecule: ribosomal RNA, 228 nt
Filed under: uncultured bacterium
Lineage: Bacteria
Description: partial 16S ribosomal RNA
Rfam family: Bacterial small subunit ribosomal RNA
Source: RNAcentral